This 254-nucleotide ribosomal RNA is filed under the name uncultured bacterium. RNAcentral describes it as "partial 16S ribosomal RNA". It matches the Rfam family "Bacterial small subunit ribosomal RNA", at positions 524 to 776 of the family's 1533-position model. The record is from RNAcentral.
UACGUAGGGGGCUAGCGUUGUCCGGAUUUAUUGGGCGUAAAGAGCUCGUAGGUGGUUCGGUUAGUCGGAUGUGAAAUCUCCAGGCUCAACCUGGAGGGGUCAUUCGAUACUGCCGUGACUAGAGUUCGGUAGAGGAGUGUGGAAUUCCUGGUGGAGCGGUGAAAUGCGCAGAGAUCAGGAGGAACACCCGUAGCGAAGGCGGCACUCUGGGCCGAUACUGACACUGAGGAGCGAAAGCGUGGGGAGCGAACAGG